GUUUUGGGCAAAAAGAUCCUGGGGAAGAUCCCCCUGAGAACUGUAUCCUCACCCCAAACUGUGGAUUAUGUACUUAUCCAACACCCAGACUGGUAAUCCUGACUUCGUUCUGGGCCCAUGUGGAUUGACUUCCUUCAGCCCAGAUUGCCCUGGCCUGGGACUCUGAACAUCUUCACAGGGCAUUCUUCAUUGACCAGCUUCCUAUAUGCCUUCUUCAGCUUGUUCUCACUAACACCUGGAAAGUCCCUAAGGAUGCCUCAGAACUUCAUAUUGAUCAUGUUAGCCAUUGUGUGGCAGAGAUAG
This 303-nucleotide long non-coding RNA is filed under the name Monodelphis domestica (gray short-tailed opossum). RNAcentral's name for it is "lncRNA (ENSMODG00000033048.2)". The record is from RNAcentral. Lineage: Eukaryota; Metazoa; Chordata; Mammalia; Didelphimorphia; Didelphidae.